Molecule: ribosomal RNA, 512 nt
Filed under: uncultured bacterium
Lineage: Bacteria
Description: partial 16S ribosomal RNA
Rfam family: Bacterial small subunit ribosomal RNA
Source: RNAcentral
GACGAACGCUGGCGGCGUGCCUAAUACAUGCAAGUCGAGCGAAUUUUUGGGAGCUUGCUCCCAAAGGUUAGCGGCGGACGGGUGAGUAACACGUGGGCAACCUGCCUAUAAGACUGGGAUAACUUCGGGAAACCGGAGCUAAUACCGGAUAAUUCAUAUCUACUCAUGUAGGUAUGCUGAAAGACGGUUUACGCUGUCACUUAUAGAUGGGCCCGCGGCGCAUUAGCUAGUUGGUGAGGUAACGGCUCACAAAGGAAACGAUGCGUAGCCGAACUGAGAGGGUGAUCGGCCACACUGGGACUGAGACACGGCCCAGACUCCUACGGGAGGCAGCAGUAGGGAAUCUUCCGCAAUGGACGAAAGUCUGACGGAGCAACGCCGCGUGAGUGAUGAAGGUUUUCGGAUCGUAAAACUCUGUUGUUAGGGAAGAACAAGUACUAGAGUAACUGCUAGUACCUUGACGGUACCUAACCAGAAAGCCACGGCUAACUACGUGCCAGCAGCCGCCGUAA